This 440-nucleotide ribosomal RNA is filed under the name uncultured Anaerolineae bacterium. Its description in RNAcentral is "partial 16S ribosomal RNA". It matches the Rfam family "Bacterial small subunit ribosomal RNA", at positions 338 to 794 of the family's 1533-position model. Lineage: Bacteria; Bacillati; Chloroflexota; Anaerolineae. The record is from RNAcentral.
CCUACGGGAGGCAGCAGUAAGGAAUCUUGCGCAAUGGGCGAAAGCCUGACGCAGCGACGCCGCGUGGGCGAUGAAGGCCUUCGGGUUGUAAAGCCCUUUUCUGGGGGACGAGGAAGGACGGUACCCCAGGAAUAAGUCACGGCUAACUACGUGCCAGCAGCCGCGGUAAAACGUAGGUGGCAAGCGUUAUCCGGAAUCACUGGGCGUAAAGGGCGUCUAGGCGGACGGGUAAGUUGGAUGUGAAAGCUCCUGGCUCAACUGGGAGAGGUCGUUCAAUACUACCAGACUUGAGAGCAGUAGAGGGAGAUGAAAUUCCCGGUGUAGUGGUGAAAUGCGUAGAUAUCGGGAGGAACACCAGUGGCGAAAGCGGUCUCCUGGACUGUUUCUGACGCUCAGACGCGAAAGCUAGGGGAGCAAACGGGAUUAGAUCCCCCUGUAGU